Dermacentor albipictus is the source of this 2670-nucleotide non-coding RNA. The record is from RefSeq and is a predicted model, not a curated record. NCBI's taxonomy places the organism in Eukaryota, Metazoa, Arthropoda, Arachnida, Ixodida, Ixodidae.
UAGGCUAGACAGCUCAAAAUUUUCUGUUUGUACUUACGAGGCAGCAGUAUUUGACAGAAAAUAAUAAUACUUUGAUGCUCUUCUCACGCCUACAAGCGAAGGCGGCGUGAUUAACAACACAGCGUAAUGCGCAACGGUGAACGCCAACGAACUCCACCACCAACCUGGACGAAGCAUUUUGGACUGAAGCUGCCUCGAUAUCUACAAUACAUUGGAUACUACGUGCAGGAUAAUGAAUGGCUACCUGAACGAUGCUUGAAGCGGCAAGCUCUACAGUAUCACUUAUGCUCCUUUCCAUGGGUUGGCAAGAGGAACCGUGGCACACAGCUCCACAGGCACCUGUGCUCUUCACUACCUUCGGAGAAGAUGCAUUGGAUGCUCCCUAUCAUGCACUGCCAUCUCAACAGUACCAUGGCUUUUUGUGUGGAUUCCUUCCAUUUUGAAUGCCACCACUGCUUGCACAGCAUCACAGCCUGCCUGCCUUGAUCUUGCGGAAGAAGAAAAUACAAAAUGCCUAUUUUUUUAAAUGCGUGCAUGGCUCCACGCAAGACACCACCUGGCGUCGGGGUGUUAGGGCUUUUUGCAGAGAAAAUGUUUGUAAUAAUGCCUUGUGUGUGCCCUAGUGGCUAAAUGUUGGCCUCUUUGCCUGUGUAAAAAUUUCACACUUAUGGAUACUGUUAAGGGUUCCUGUAUUAUUGUUAUUACUUACAGUUUCCUGUUCAGGAUUCCUGUAUUGGAAAUUUUUGUUUCAUUAUAAAACUAAAAAUUAUAGUUGAAUUGCUGCUUUGUGUGAUAUGCAAUAUUCAGCCGAAGGUGGUCAGCAGAGGUCGAACAAGCGUUAUAUCAGGUGGAGAAAUUUUUUUGAGCAGGGGACUUCUUCGUUAGGGUAACAACUGUUUUCCUUGGCAUUAUUUAUAUAGUUCACUUUUCUCCACUUCAUGGAUAUCCAGCAAAAUGACUGAGUGCAUAGGGAGGGUGAGGCAAGUUUAAAUGCUCAACAUGGGGAUUUAGUUAGGAUAGCAAGGUGUGUAGAAGUAGGGGAGUUUGGGAGGUUGCUGACACCGAUUUCUAUGAGUGAUCUUGUUGUUUGUGUCAAUGUCGGUUAUAUAAUGCGAGGCGUCUUCUGAGGCAAGAAACUUUGAAAAAGCUCCUUAUAGCUGUGGAAAUUCAGUACGUGCCCCCUGGGGCUACCAUGGGUGUGUCACUGUGGCCAUUGGUUAUCACUUGGGGCCACUGGGUAGAUGCAGCUCUUCAACGAACUUUUUUGACACAAACUUGUGUAUGUACACUGGGUGUGUGCCACUGCAUGUGUGCCACUCUUUAAUGGACCUCUUUGAUGCUGACUUAGGUCAUGGGGCAUCACAACAAGAACCUACGUAGUGGCAUCUGUGUAUGCAUGUAAGUGAGCUGAAAUUGUUUGCUUGGAUUUUCUUUCCCUGACGACUAGUCCCCUUGUUGAAUUUACUUCAGCCUGAGAUAUCACCUGUUUGACUACUGUUAUCACAUUAUGCCCCAUUUUGCUGUGAACUUGUCAUGUUCUCUAGCUGGCAAGCUUGAAUUUCAGGUACUGCACAGUGCUAAGGAAAUUGAUUCAGAGUGGGUGGUACUACCUCGGCUUUUCUUUGCAGCUGCGUGUUACAUGAGAGAAUAAGUUGUAUGUAGAUGUCUAUUAGAAAUAGCAUAGGUAUUCAAAAGUACUUUCAUUAUGUUCUAGGUCAUUGGUGCUGUCUGGCCUCCUUUGCAUCAUUUUUUGUAGCAUGCUUGUUUACGUGCAAAAACAAAUGUGGCCUGUUCUAAUGCCUGCAAGGACUGCCCAAUAGCUCAUGAUGUUUUGAGCCACUCAAUUUCAGUCUUGGCUGCACUUGUGGAUUUUCAACAUCACUGAAGCUUGCAAUAUGCUUGAAUUUCCUGCCAAACUGGUUUGCUUGUUUGUAUCCAAUUUAUUGAAUUAUUUCACUUUCAUUAUGCUAAUAGUCAUUGAUUGUAAUAUUAUGCUGGCACAUUUGAUUCUGGAACUGUAAUAAAUUUCCAGACAUUUUAUUGCUUUGUCAUAAUUUUUGCACCUCGUUAGACACAAUCUACUAAACACACAAAAAACUCCCUUCAACCUCGUAAAAUUCCCAAAAGGUGCAUAAUAAACUCCCGACCUACCUGUAAAAGCUCUAAUAAAGAGCUAAAAUGCACUCCCAAAACAUCUGUUUAAAACUCCCUUAAUAAAACAGCUCCCUAAAGCUGUAAAAAUUAACUCCCAAACAUUCUCUUAUAUAUUCCCAUAAAAAGCAAAAAUUCAACUCUCAAAAUUAACCAUAAUUGCUCCCUUAAGCAAAGCUCCCAAAAUAUGGGAACAGUUGCUCCCAUGUUUACACCUAAGCACUCCUACAAGGAGGCAAAAUAAUUUCCCAAAGGUCUCCUUCAACACUCCCUUAAGAAGCCAAACGUUUCCGAAAAUGUACGUAAGGACUCCCAUCGUUUCUCCUAUAAAUUCCCAUAAGCAGCAAAAUAAAAUACCCAUGUCAACUUGUAAAAGCUCCCAAAGCUCCUCAUAAAAAGUUCCAUAGUGCUGGUGUCCAAAAGAGGAAUGAAAAACUCCCAACGUUCCCCAUAAAGACUCCUGCAACCGCUCAGGGGUUGGUGUUUAAAGGAGAAUUCAAAAACUCCCAUAAUUCCCCA